GACGAACGCUGGCGGCGUGCCUAAUACAUGCAAGUAGAACGCUGAAGAGAGGAGCUUGCUCUUCUUGGAUGAGUUGCGAACGGGUGAGUAACGCGUAGGUAACCUGCCUGGUAGCGGGGGAUAACUAUUGGAAACGAUAGCUAAUACCGCAUAAUAGCAGUUAUUGCAUGAUAACUGUUUGAAAGGUGCAAUUGCAUCACUACCAGAUGGACCUGCGUUGUAUUAGCUAGUUGGUGGGGUAACGGCUCACCAAGGCGACGAUACAUAGCCGACCUGAGAGGGUGAUCGGCCACACUGGGACUGAGACACGGCCCAGACUCCUACGGGAGGCAGCAGUAGGGAAUCUUCGGCAAUGGACGGAAGUCUGACCGAGCAACGCCGCGUGAGUGAAGAAGGUUUUCGGAUCGUAAAGCUCUGUUGUAAGAGAAGAACGAGUGUGAGAGGGAAAGUUCACA
RNAcentral lists this ribosomal RNA (455 nucleotides) under Streptococcus mitis. Its description in RNAcentral is "bacterial SSU rRNA". It matches the Rfam family "Bacterial small subunit ribosomal RNA", at positions 28 to 468 of the family's 1533-position model. The record is from RNAcentral. Lineage: Bacteria; Bacillati; Bacillota; Bacilli; Lactobacillales; Streptococcaceae.